AGUGGCCCCGGACUCGAGCCGCGCCCCCACCGUGGCUGCCCGGGUCCCUGUCCAAGACCCCCCACGGACUUCUCUCCCUGUCCCCGGCACAAGCCCGGACGAAAACCCUUAACCGCGUGGGCUUCAAACGUCCAGCUUCCGGGUUGUUAGGUGUUGAGGUUUGAAAGAAAUGAUCAUUUCAGUGGCUUGCAGGAAUGGCAAGGGAGGAGGGACCUUGAAGUGUUGUCACACUUGGGAAAAUAACGCGCUGGUUUCCUAACUCGGGGAGCGAUCAAAAUAAAGGAAUGUGUACUUCAGAAGCCACAUCCAAAAUACAUGCAACUGGCGGAGGAAGGAUUUGUGGUUGCUAAGCAGUGGCAGAGCAUGUUUAGCUCUGUAACUUAGGAUGUUGACUUAAGUUCAGGAAUGUAACCCUGAUAGAAUAAGCAGAGUGUUUUCAUUGUGCAGCUCACCUGGGGGAGGGGGAUUGUUUUCCUUGUUAAGUGAAGCCCUAGAUUUCCCAUUACUCCUUUCUACUGAUGCAUGUUAUUUUAUUGAUCUUGUAUCCAAAAAGAUUUUGAAAGAGGUUUUAGAAAAGAAUCCCCUAUGUCUGUUUUGUGUUCUCCUUUGCCAUAAAAACAAAACACCUCAUUACUUUACAUGGAUUGUGUCUACACCAUUUGAAUGGUUCUAUUCAUAAAUCAGGAAACUUUUUCUGUUGCUUCUAGGAACUUUUAAUUGGUUUUAAUCCAAUGUUUCAAUCCCAGAAUCAAAUAUAAAUGAACAAUUAACUUCUUGAGCUUUUGUGCACUUGGGAAACUAUUAUAUUUCAUGUAUUGCUGAAAUAUUUCAGUUUGUCAUCACACUGGACCUAUUCUUUUCAGAAAAGCAUGAGCUAACUAACAUCUCCUUUCAUACUAACUACAACACACCCCUGUGGUUCUGCUGCCAGAUUAGAGUGAACAAUAAUCAACAGGAUAUGUGUCUAUUCAUUUCAAGGACAUGAUGUGGGAUAUCAGUUCAUCCCAAGGAAGCCAAAAUGAGCUCAUAUACAGAAUAUUAAGAUACUGAUAUCCUUAAUCAUAUACUCUUUUUUUUUUAAGGAACAAGAACCAAGAAUGAACAAAGGAAGAAACAAGGGAAAAUCUGAAGAAAAGCAUCAGCAUUUCCCUAAAGGAAUUCAACUAAUCCAUAUCACACAUAUAGAAGUACUUAACACAGAAAAAUUUAAAAACCUGGAAGCAAAAGUGAAUUUGUAGAAAAUGAAAACAUUCUGGGGAUAGACGUUAAAAGUUAUUACCAAGAUCAUUAACAGAGAAGAAAAGCAGGCAAUUCCCACAAAUAGGAAAGUAAAACACUGUAACACCAAAGGGGAAAAAACCUACUUAAGUACAAGAAACCUGAGGGUCUCACUAUGUAGUGAAAUUGACCUGGAACUCACU
Fukomys damarensis (Damara mole-rat) is the source of this 1421-nucleotide long non-coding RNA. RefSeq lists it as uncharacterized. The record is from RefSeq and is a predicted model, not a curated record. The transcript has 4 exons. Lineage: Eukaryota; Metazoa; Chordata; Mammalia; Rodentia; Bathyergidae.